RNAcentral lists this ribosomal RNA (498 nucleotides) under uncultured bacterium. RNAcentral's name for it is "partial 16S ribosomal RNA". It matches the Rfam family "Bacterial small subunit ribosomal RNA", at positions 30 to 523 of the family's 1533-position model. The record is from RNAcentral.
AUUGAACGCUGGCGGCAUGCCUUACACAUGCAAGUCGAACGGUAACAGGUCUUCGGAUGCUGACGAGUGGCGAACGGGUGAGUAAUACAUCGAAACGUGCCUAGUAGUGGGGGAUAACUACUCGAAAGAGUGGCUAAUACCGCAUGAGAUCUACGGAUGAAAGCAGGGGAUCGCAAGACCUUGUGCUACUAGAGCGGCCGAUGGCAGAUUAGGUAGUUGGUGGGAUAAAAGCUUACCAAGCCGACGAUCUGUAGCUGGUCUGAGAGGACGAUCAGCCACACUGGGUCUGAGAAACGGCCCAGACUCCUACGGGAGGCAGCAGUGGGGAAUUUUGGACAAUGGGCGCAAGCCUGAUCCAGCAAUGCCGCGUGCAGGAUGAAGGCCUUCGGGUUGUAAACUGCUUUUGUACGGAACGAAAAGCCCCGGGUUAAUACCCUGGGGUCAUGACGGUACCGUAAGAAUAAGCACCGGCUAACUACGUGCCAGCCACCGCCGUAA